UACGAGGGGGCAAGCGUUGUUCGGAAUUAUUGGGCGUAAAGGGCGCGUAGGCGGUGCGGUAAGUCACCUGUGAAACCUCUGGGCUUAACUCAGAGCCUGCAGGCGAAACUGCCGUGCUGAGUAUGGGAGAGGUGCGUGGAAUUCCCGGUGUAGCGGUGAAAUGCGUAGAUAUCGGAAGGAACACCUGUGGCGAAAGCGGCUCACUGGACCAUAACUGACGCUGAGGCGCGAAAGCUAGGGGAGCA
RNAcentral lists this ribosomal RNA (245 nucleotides) under uncultured bacterium. RNAcentral's name for it is "partial 16S ribosomal RNA". It matches the Rfam family "Bacterial small subunit ribosomal RNA", at positions 524 to 770 of the family's 1533-position model. The record is from RNAcentral.